This 264-nucleotide unclassified non-coding RNA is filed under the name Hevea brasiliensis (rubber tree). The record is from RNAcentral. Lineage: Eukaryota; Viridiplantae; Streptophyta; Magnoliopsida; Malpighiales; Euphorbiaceae.
AGGCAUGUGACGCGAUCAGCGCCUUCAGAACUGCGUCCGGCCGUUCCGCCGUCAGCAUGUGACCUGCACCCGACAGCACGACAGGCGUUGACCCCGCGAUUGCAGUGGCGAGCUGCUUGCCUGACUUGAGCGGCGUCAUCAUGUCCCGUUCGCCGAGAAUGAGCGUGGUCGGUGCGGUUACUUUCACCGCGGAUUCCAGUGCGGCUUUGUAGUCGUUGCAGGCUGAAAGAUCGUUGAACAGCACGCCCGGCGCAUCGCGCUCGA